CUUAAUAAUAGAGAUUUUGAAUCGAUGAUCAGAACCGUUGAAGUUCAUCUAGAGUAUUUGAAAUAUCUAGAAACUAAAUUUCAUAAAUUUUAAAAAUUAUUUACAUGGUGAUCAAAGUGUCGUAAAAUCGACAAUUUUUUACGGCCUAUAUGAGCCGUUUGCUUGUUUAACGGUGUAGAGCAAUCCAAAUUGCUUGAAUUUUUGAUAGAAAAUUUUUUAUACUAUUUAGAUAAUAUUUGAUAACUUUGAUUAUGAAUUGAGAACGUCUAACCUCUUUUUAAAAAGGUUAUUCAUUUAUGACCAUUCAUUUUUCAGACUCUUCGAUGAACUUGAUAAUGAUUUUUAAAUAUUACAAAAUUUGAUUUCUAAACAUUUCUAAUUGUGCAGAUCAAUUUCAACGGUACCGAUUAUAAAUUUAAAGCUCCGAUAAUU
RNAcentral lists this long non-coding RNA (432 nucleotides) under Ananas comosus (pineapple). Its description in RNAcentral is "long non-coding RNA (ACOM_LNC031928)". The record is from RNAcentral. Lineage: Eukaryota; Viridiplantae; Streptophyta; Magnoliopsida; Poales; Bromeliaceae.